AACGAACGCUGGCGGCAUGCCUAACACAUGCAAGUCGAACGAGACCAUCGGGUCUAGUCGCGCACGGGUGCGUAACGCGUGGGAAUCUGCCCUUGGGUUCGGAAUAACAGUGAGAAAUUACUGCUAAUACCGGAUGAUGUCUUCGGACCAAAGAUUUAUCGCCCAGGGAUGAGCCCGCGUAGGAUUAGCUAGUUGGUGGGGUAAUCGCCUACCAGGGCGACGAUCCUUAGCUGGUCUGAGAGGAUGAUCAGCCACACUGGGACUGAGACACGGCCCAGACUCCUACGGGAGGCAGCAGUGGGGAAUAUUGGAAAACGGGCGCAGGCCUGAUCCAGCAAUGCCGCGUGAGUGAUGAAGGCCUUAGGGUUGUAAAGCUCUUUUACCCGGGAUGAUAAUGACGGUACCGGGAGAAUAAGCUCCGGCUAACUCCGUG
RNAcentral lists this ribosomal RNA (433 nucleotides) under uncultured bacterium. RNAcentral's name for it is "partial 16S ribosomal RNA". It matches the Rfam family "Bacterial small subunit ribosomal RNA", at positions 29 to 507 of the family's 1533-position model. The record is from RNAcentral.